This 115-nucleotide ribosomal RNA is filed under the name Acanthosepion pharaonis. Lineage: Eukaryota; Metazoa; Mollusca; Cephalopoda; Sepiida; Sepiidae. The record is from RNAcentral.
UUACGGUCAAAUCACGCUGAAAACACCGGUUCUCGUUCGAUCACCGAAGUUAAGCAUCGUAGAGUCAGGUCAGUACUUAGAUGGGGGACCGCUUGGGAACACCUGGUACUGUAAG